GCUGAAAAGGAAAGAGAGAGGAAAUCAGCUUUAUGAAAUAUGGGGAGGAAAUGUUAGAAUAACCAUUUAAGAUUAAUAGUGACAAGGAAUAGUGAAAAGGAAUGUUCAGUUUGGUUUUUUUAAGAUUUCAAGACCAGCAUUUCUGAUUAACUGUCCCUGAGGUGCUGCCUACAUCAGGCAGCAGCCAGAAGCACUGGCUUGGUACAAACCCUUCAUGUCGCCUGGCUACAGAGCAAAGGCCACCCUGGCUCAUGGAAGAACCCCACCAGGCAGACACAUUCUUGCUUCAGACACGGAAGGGCAACGGGCAAGAGGGGAAAGAGUUCUCGGUUAGCAGUGUGGACGGUAAGGAGGGUGACACACAGGCGAGCAGUGCGGCUGAGUGCGAAGCCUCUACCUCCCCUUCCUCCCCACCCCAUUCCUGUGGCUGGCUGAGCGGUGGUGGCUUUGACAAAAUUGGUGGUUAUGUUAAAAAGGCAACAGCUGAUUUGGCGGACUUAGCCCAUGGGCGCUGCAGACCCCUCUGGCUCUAGGCAGUGGGGAGCCACUUUACAGACCCCGAGCUAAUGCCUGUGGUCUCAUAUUCCAGAAGGUCUGCCGCCUAAAGGACAUUCAGGGAGCUGAGGCCCCUGUCUGAGGGUGAUGUGAUAGCAGCUGCUUGCGGGGAGGCUGGCACUCGCCCUGCUUGUCUGUGAGCUCACGCAGCUCUCUAUAGAAAGUAUCACCUGCACUGUGCAGAUGAGCGCCUGGAGGAUGUAUGACGUCGCCAUCUUUUAGGCAAAGGCCUAACCAAGAAGCCGUGCAAGGCCUACCUGCCCAUCGGUGAGAACACGAACAAGUUCUGGUAGGUCUGAAAAGGACACCGGUACUGAUGGCGGCAAAAGCAGAGGCCGCCUGGGAAUUUCCUGCAGGUGCUGGGUGAGGAUGGGUCUGGUCUGGGCACCUGGCCCUCACUGUGGGAGGCCUGAGGCCCUGGAUGCGUCCACAACAGUACAACUGCUGAGGAGGCGCUGAUGUGGCAAAGCCUGAAGCAGAGGGCACAAGGGGAUGCUCCUAGCUGCCUAGGCUGAGGGAAGCGGGUGCUGAAACUGCCUCCAGGCUGGAUGGGCCUGAAGCUGAGAAACCACAAGGCAACAGCCUGCCCAGGCUGAUCUGGAGCUGUGCAUUUCUCCGACAGCAGCAAACAACAUUUAACUUCUUUUGUGAAGGCUACUACUUCGAGGAACCAAGUCAGGAAAAGCUGACUAUUGGGUAAGUUUGGUUUCCAUUGAAUAGCACACCACCCGACAAGCUCAGACAUCCUGUUCUGGUUUGGAGCCAAGGCACACUCCUUGCAUUUGGUCCUUUUUAGGCCUCAUGAUGCCAAAACUGGCAAAACCCAUCCUCUUCCCUGUUACACGCUCUGCCAAACCGACCAACCUCCCUUUCUCAGAGACCUCAUGCAGUUAGGAUGGGACUUCUGUCCCCUUACACUCGGACCUUGCAAGUUGGCAGUACCCUGCCCCGCUUGAUGAUUCCCACCAACUCUCCCCCAAACUGGAAGCCUUUAUUUACAUCACAUCUUUUGGCUGGUCCCAGAUCUGGGCCCCCAGAGCCUUCACAGGAACACUCAGGGCCUCAUGGGGAGGGAGCUCCUGCUUAGGCCUCCUUCGCCCUGGUUCCGGACAAGGCUGGUUGCUAGCAGAGCCAUGCCCUAAAUAACUCUGCUUUAACUUACCCUGGAGAGAGAGAAGACAAGUCCCAGCUGCAAAGGAUAGGACCCAGAAGGUGAAAAGAGGUGGCCUACUUGAGACCAACCUAUUGGAUGCACGAACUGACUGGUUCAACUAUUUGCUUUCACUAGAUUUUUGCUUUUUAAUGAACCAGGUAGCAAGGUUCUUGGAUGAAUCCUUGCAGCUAGUAAAGACCAAAGAACCACAAGUUUUUGAGAGUCCUCAUCUUGGCAUUAGCAAAGGCAGCAUUCUCUCAGCCUGUAAGUUGGACCAAAGCAAAAUGAGCUUCUCUCUCCCCAGGCUCUCCCUGACAUCCGGCUGUGCCACUGACCAAGGCAGCGCAUGGAGCCUAUAGAUGUCACACCUCGCGUCAGCUAACCCAGCCCCCGUGUGCACAGGUACAGGAAAGAAAGGUGGAUACGUACCAGUUGGUAGAAGGACACCCUCGGACCCCCGUCGGCAGCAAUGAACCACCACGCGGCAGCACCCACAGUAGCAGCGCCAACGUAACCUGGUAACAGACACAGGCAGGGUUUGCAGCCCACAGCUUAUACUGCGGGCUCUGCCUCACAGGCCAAUCCCCCGCAGAGAUGAGACCUGGUUUGUCGAUGGCACUGGAGAGCUUUGCUGCCACUAGCAACUGCUCACUCACAUCAGCCCAAGCAGCUAGACGGUGGGUCUCUGCAAGGAGAGGGGUGUCUGGUACAGAAAAACCAGGCAACUUUUCUUCCAGAGUUUAUGAGAAAAAGGAAAUACUGCAACUGGCAGGGACCUCGACGACAGCCAUGCCUUCUCUAACUGGCAGCAGGUACACACAUACUCUAUGUAAGCCCUUGCUGCGUUGGCUCAGAUCACAGCACCCAGGACUUUUAGGGAAACUGAUGCUCCCAGGUGUACGCUUAUUUGCUCUAUCAAAGGCCUUGCAGAACCUUUACGUGGAAAUGCUGUCAGAGCAGUUAGUGCAGAACACAGGCAACAUGCCAAAAACCCAGAGCUGAUUCUGGGACCACCCUCCCUCCCAACCUAUCAGUUCUGAACUCAACAAGUUUACUGCAAAGCAACGGGGUAGUGGAGAACAAGGGACCGGACACCGUGAAGAUGAUGCCGAUGCAGCAGCACCCACCACCACGACACAGGUGCACCCCCUAACCCGGCAGCUAUGGGCAGGAAUGAGAGAGCUGGUGCAUGGGGACAAGGCAGCGCUACACACACCGAUGUAGCAACUCCCAGCAAACAGGGAAAGGUACACGGAGACAGGGUUCAGCACACAGGUGUUUACAGCACACCAACACUUAUGAAAAUAAAUACAUGAAAUAGA
This is a long non-coding RNA of Neofelis nebulosa (Clouded leopard), 3030 nucleotides long. RefSeq lists it as uncharacterized. The transcript is spliced from 2 exons. NCBI's taxonomy places the organism in Eukaryota, Metazoa, Chordata, Mammalia, Carnivora, Felidae. The record is from RefSeq and is a predicted model, not a curated record.